Molecule: ribosomal RNA, 254 nt
Filed under: uncultured bacterium
Lineage: Bacteria
Description: partial 16S ribosomal RNA
Rfam family: Bacterial small subunit ribosomal RNA
Source: RNAcentral
UACGUAGGGGGCGAGCGUUGUCCGGAAUUAUUGGGCGUAAAGAGCUCGUAGGCGGUGUGUCACGUCGGCCGUGAAAACCUGGGGCUUAACUCUGGGCGUGCGGUCGAUACGGGCAUCACUAGAGUUCGGCAGGGGAGACUGGAAUUCCUGGUGUAGCGGUGAAAUGCGCAGAUAUCAGGAGGAACACCGGUGGCGAAGGCGGGUCUCUGGGCCGAUACUGACGCUGAGGAGCGAAAGCAUGGGUAGCGAACAGG